GCGGACGUGGUGCAUGGCGCACCGCUGCAUUUCAUGCACAAAACCCAGCAUGCAUGCAGCAGCUAACGGGGUUCGACUCCCCGCGUCCGCA
Non-coding RNA from Mycena albidolilacea, 91 nucleotides. The record is from the annotation of a GenBank genome assembly. NCBI's taxonomy places the organism in Eukaryota, Fungi, Basidiomycota, Agaricomycetes, Agaricales, Mycenaceae.